UUUCCGUAGGUGAACCUGCGGAAGGAUCAUUCAUAAUAAAGUGUUUUAUGGCACUUUUUAAAAAUCCAUAUCCACCUUGUGUGCAAUGUUAGAUCUCGUCAAUCUUGGCGAGAUAUUUAUACAUCAACUCAUUUUUUAACUAAUUUGUCUGAAAAAUAUUAUGAAUACUUAAUUCAAAAUACAACUUUCAACAACGGAUCUCUUGGCUCUC
RNAcentral lists this unclassified non-coding RNA (211 nucleotides) under plant metagenome. Its description in RNAcentral is "partial contains small subunit ribosomal RNA, internal transcribed spacer 1, and 5.8S ribosomal RNA". The record is from RNAcentral.